GUGGAUCAGUGGCGAACGGGUGAGUAACACGUGAGCAACCUGCCCUGGACUCUGGGAUAAGCGCUGGAAACGGCGUCUAAUUCUGGAUAUGAGCUCCUAUCGCAUGGUGGGGGUUGGAAAGAUUUUUCGGUCUGGGAUGGGCUCGCGGCCUAUCAGCUUGUUGGUGAGGUAAUGGCUCACCAAGGCGUCGACGGGUAGCCGGCCUGAGAGGGUGACCGGCCACACUGGGACUGAGACACGGCCCAGACUCC
This 251-nucleotide ribosomal RNA is filed under the name uncultured bacterium. Its description in RNAcentral is "partial 16S ribosomal RNA". It matches the Rfam family "Bacterial small subunit ribosomal RNA", at positions 87 to 339 of the family's 1533-position model. The record is from RNAcentral.